UGAAUGUAAGCUGCCUAGGAACU
This 23-nucleotide microRNA is filed under the name Heligmosomoides polygyrus. Its description in RNAcentral is "hpo-miR-10053-5p". Lineage: Eukaryota; Metazoa; Nematoda; Chromadorea; Rhabditida; Heligmosomidae. The record is from miRBase by way of RNAcentral.